CGGGAAGUAGCUCAGCUUGGUAGAGCACAUGGUUUGGGGACCAUGGGGUCGCAGGUUCGAAUCCUGUCUUCCCGACCA
This 78-nucleotide transfer RNA is filed under the name Bacillus subtilis. RNAcentral describes it as "tRNA-Pro". It matches the Rfam family "tRNA". Rfam says of the family: Transfer RNA (tRNA) molecules are approximately 80 nucleotides in length. Their secondary structure includes four short double-helical elements and three loops (D, anti-codon, and T loops). Further hydrogen bonds mediate the characteristic L-shaped molecular structure. tRNAs have two regions of fundamental functional importance: the anti-codon, which is responsible for specific mRNA codon recognition, and the 3' end, to which the tRNAs corresponding amino acid is attached (by aminoacyl-tRNA synthetases). tRNAs cope with the degeneracy of the genetic code in two manners: having more than one tRNA (with a specific anti-codon) for a particular amino acid; and 'wobble' base-pairing, i.e. permitting non-standard base-pairing at the 3rd anti-codon position. The record is from RNAcentral. Lineage: Bacteria; Bacillati; Bacillota; Bacilli; Caryophanales; Bacillaceae.